RNAcentral lists this ribosomal RNA (471 nucleotides) under uncultured bacterium. RNAcentral describes it as "bacterial SSU rRNA". It matches the Rfam family "Bacterial small subunit ribosomal RNA", at positions 335 to 802 of the family's 1533-position model. The record is from RNAcentral.
ACUCCUACGGGAGGCAGCAGUGGGGAAUAUUGCACAAUGGGGGAAACCCUGAUGCAGCCAUGCCGCGUGUGUGAAGAAGGCCUUCGGGUUGUAAAGCACUUUCAGUAGGGAGGAAGGUAGUGUAGUUAACACCUGCAUUAUUUGACGUUACCUACAGAAGAAGCACCGGCUAACUCCGUGCCAGCAGCCGCGGUAAUACGGAGGGUGCGAGCGUUAAUCGGAAUUACUGGGCGUAAAGCGCAUGCAGGCGGCCUGUUAAGUCAGAUGUGAAAGCCCGGGGCUUAACCUCGGAAUUGCAUUUGAAACUGGCAGGCUAGAGUCUUGUAGAGGGGUUAGAAUUUCAGGUGUAGCGGUGAAAUGCGUAGAGAUCUGAAGGAAUACCAGUGGCGAAGGCGGCCCCCUGGACAAAGCUGACGCUCAGAUGCGAAAGCGUGGGAGCAAACAGGAUUAGAUACCCCUGGUAGACUGUCA